This 301-nucleotide ribosomal RNA is filed under the name uncultured bacterium. RNAcentral's name for it is "partial 16S ribosomal RNA". It matches the Rfam family "Bacterial small subunit ribosomal RNA", at positions 509 to 807 of the family's 1533-position model. The record is from RNAcentral.
CAGUAGCCGCGGGAAUACGAAGGGUGCAAGCGUUACUCGGAAUUACUGGGCGUAAAGCGUGCGUAGGUGGUGGUUUAAGUCCGUUGUGAAAGCCCUGGGCUCAACCUGGGAAUUGCAGUGGAUACUGGGUCACUAGAGUGUGGUAGAGGAUAGUGGAAUUUCCGGUGUAGCAGUGAAAUGCGUAGAGAUCGGAAGGAACAUCUGUGGCGAAGGCGGCUCACUGGACCGGCAUUGACGCUGAGGUGCGAAAGCGUGGGGAGCAAACAGGAUUAGAUACCCCCGUAGUCCCUGUCUCUUAUAC